CAAUUACCAUUGGCAAUGCACAGUUUGCAAUGCCAGCUGUUAUAAUCCUUCAAAUUGCUGAUGAGAAAUCAUCCCCGUACUGGAGGGCCCAACACAUCCUAAAGGAGAAGACUUCGAGACAAAGCAACGGAUGCCAGGAAUAGGACCCAUGAGCAGCAUUGAUGGCGGGUGGGACCCGCACUCAGAGUUUCAAACAACUUACACUAGAAAAGGGGCACACUUUGAGUUGCAUACACAUGUUGAAGAUUAGGCGAGAAUUCGGGAAUGAGACACGAAUUGAGGUUUAAUUUUAGCCUCUCCAUCGCAAGCACGCUCGCUCUAACGUGCGAGACAAAGCAGCACUACACUUUCGCGUUUGAAAAUUGUUUCCUUAUAUGCUCCACAAUCCACGUUCUUUCGCCGGAGUAGAUUCAAACCGAAGUUUUUGAAUCAGACCCUGAUCGUCGUCGGUAUGCGGGGUCCCAUCCUCCUCCGAGACCGAUGUUUCACCCGAGGGUCCAUCUUGAAAGCCGGGAUUCGUUCCUCCUUGACCUUUACUAGUUGGCUAUGACUUGAAUGCUUGGCGCGAGAGUCAAGCUUGGGUUAUCUGUCGACGAGACGCUCGGCUGCUUAGCUGAAUUUAGAUCGGUUAGGACUUUGGAUGAAUAACAUUUCAUUCGGCGAAAGCUGCAUCAGUAAAGGAUCGGACCAAGGCCGUGGUAUUCGUUCCCGGUAAAAACAAUCACAGUGCUGCA
This 734-nucleotide long non-coding RNA is filed under the name Physcomitrium patens. Its description in RNAcentral is "long non-coding RNA (PPAT_LNC007732)". Lineage: Eukaryota; Viridiplantae; Streptophyta; Bryopsida; Funariales; Funariaceae. The record is from RNAcentral.